ACAACCCAAUCUGCUAAUCUCCGAUACCGCUUUGUACUUAGGAUCUUGUAUCCACUGAUUGUCUUGUUAGAUUAACCCAAUAAAUUUCAUGCACUCCGCAUACUCAAUCCUAUAGACAUCCUUUUAAUUCUUCAAUCACAGACGUAACUCGAUUUCACAAAACAGUCAAGAGUAAUCAAACCCACUUCAUUAAAAAAAAUCCCGAUUCACCAUUACAACACUGACUUCAGCAACGAUUGCCUCAGUCUUCCCGAAACCUUAUGAAGAAGAAAAACCCAAUUCUCUAUCUUUUCUUCCCGGACCCGAAGCAUCAAGCUCCUCUUCAAUCCCCUGAUCUUCAAAAACCUCCAAUGAAACAGAACUGGUAACCUUGCAAAAGCUUGAAAACUAGCUCCCCUCCUCGAUUCCCCUGUUCUUCAAAAACCUCCAAUGAAAACCGAACUGGUAACCUUGCAAAAG
This 459-nucleotide long non-coding RNA is filed under the name Physcomitrium patens. Its description in RNAcentral is "long non-coding RNA (PPAT_LNC007475)". The record is from RNAcentral. Lineage: Eukaryota; Viridiplantae; Streptophyta; Bryopsida; Funariales; Funariaceae.